CUGUAAUCCAAAGUUCCGACGCCCUAGGAUGGAUCUGCGGCCGAUUAGGUUGUUGUUGGGGUAAUGGCCCAACAAGCCCGUAAUCGGUACGGGUUGUGGGAGCAAGAGCCCGGAGUUGGAUUCUGAGACACGAAUCCAGGCCCUACGGGGCGCAGCAGGCGCGAAAACUUUACAAUGCGGGCAACCGUGAUAAGGGAACCUCGAGUGCCUGUAAAUGCAGGCUGUUCAGGUGCCUAAAACACACCUGAAGAAAGGGCCGGGCAAGACCGGUGCCAGCCGCCGCGGUAAUACCGGCGGCUCGAGUGGUGGCCGCUUUUAUUGGGCUUAAAGCGUUCGUAGCUGGGUUGUUAAGUCUCUUGGGAAAUCUGGCGGCUUAACCGUCAGGCGUCUAAGGGAUACUGGCAAUCUUGGAACCGGGAGAGGUGAGGGGUACUUCGGGGGUAGGAGUGAAAUCCUGUAAUCCUCGAGGGACCACCUGUGGCGAAGGCGCCUCACCAGAACGGCUUCGACAGUGAGGGACGAAAGCUGGGGGAGCAAACCGGAUUAGAUACCCGGGUAGUCCCAGCCGUAAACUAUGCGCGUUAGGUGUAUCGGUGACCUACGAGUUACCGAGGUGCCGAAGGGAAACCGUGAAACGUGCCGCUCUGGGAAAGUACGGUCGCAAGGCUGAAACUUAAAGGAAAUUGGCGGG
This 691-nucleotide ribosomal RNA is filed under the name uncultured archaeon. Its description in RNAcentral is "bacterial SSU rRNA". It matches the Rfam family "Archaeal small subunit ribosomal RNA", at positions 181 to 872 of the family's 1478-position model. The record is from RNAcentral.